Molecule: unclassified non-coding RNA, 1080 nt
Filed under: Hevea brasiliensis (rubber tree)
Lineage: Eukaryota; Viridiplantae; Streptophyta; Magnoliopsida; Malpighiales; Euphorbiaceae
Source: RNAcentral
GUUUCCGAUUCUUAAUUUCCUUUCCUGUCCUGCAAAUUUACAACCUACCACUAUGGACAACGAAUUUUCAACGAAACGUCUCGUUAACCGUCAAAACUCCGGAUACCACGAAACGUUUUUAUACUAGUCAUUUUUUUCCAUUUUUUUAAUACCAUUUUUUUCUACAAGGCAGAAAGCGACUCGGCCUGCCACUGCACACCCGCUGUAUCACCGGCAGAUGAAUAGUUCUCGUCCGAGUGGUUAAACAAUCCACCUAACGCCACAAAAUCUCCGCUGUCAUUGUAGCUACCGUUAUAACUAUUGCCAGCCGAGUCACCCAUCAGUCCAAACUCAAACGAGUCAUAACUCGGUAUCUCGUUCUCGAAUCCUAGCAUUUCACCGAAACCUUCGGCGCCAGAUCCGCUUGUUUCAGCAGCCAAAUCCACUGUACUUCUCUUUUCCUCGCCAGAAAACGUCGGCGGCAAACCAAGCUCAUCGUCCGAAGCUUCCAGAAGAUAGCCAAGUUCCGGCUGGGAUACCCCGCCAUAACACUCCACAUUCGUCGUCUCCGGACCAACAACCGGCACGAGGAUUUCUUCUUCAAAGCUUCUGAUAACGGAGUCAAGGCCUUGAAUAGUCUGGUCAUCCCACUCAUCAAGAAUGUUUAGCAAAUCAUCGUGGAUCCGCUUAGCAUCCGGAGAGUUAAGACCAGAGCCAUUCGAGUCAAUAAGGUUAUGAACACCCUUGCACGAGUUCACACUCGAGUUAUCCGAGUCCAGGUGGCUUUCACCGAGAUCGGGCGAGUCGCCACACGACUCAACCCGAGUGAGUUUGGACUCGGGAGAGUCACGAUCUGAGUCAUCUCGGGGUCGUUUCCUGUUGUUUUCAGAUUCUUGGUCCAUUAAAUAAUAUAAUGGGUUUCACGUUCAGGUUCUAAGGGGACAGAGCAAAUCUAAUCAAAGAGAUUUUGUGGGUCGUUAGCAUAUAAUAAUAAGAGAGGAGAGAGAAGGGUGUUUGGUUGAUGGGAAAGGGUUAGCAAAAGAGAGAAAAACAAAAAGCCGUGAUUUAAGGAGAGGUGACUGUUGUAGAGAGAGAAAAACG